AGAUGUUCAAGCUUCAAGACAUCUUAACAGCAAAGCACCACCAACAACAAGUAGCCAGAGCCUGAGGGGUCCUUUUCCGGAGGGACUAAAUGAAGUUCCAAGCCUGCUGGGCUUUAAGAUUUCUUAGUGAACUGAAGUUCCAUAGCUGCUGGCCUAUAAAGAAUCUUAGUGAUUCAGGGUGCUGCCCUUCCUUAGUGGAAUUCCUGUUUGCUGAAGCAGAAGAGUGG
Molecule: long non-coding RNA, 227 nt
Filed under: Panax ginseng (ginseng)
Lineage: Eukaryota; Viridiplantae; Streptophyta; Magnoliopsida; Apiales; Araliaceae
Description: long non-coding RNA (PGIN_LNC012612)
Source: RNAcentral